This 1202-nucleotide long non-coding RNA is filed under the name Homo sapiens (human). Its description in RNAcentral is "HSALNT0305459". The record is from RNAcentral. Lineage: Eukaryota; Metazoa; Chordata; Mammalia; Primates; Hominidae.
AUGACACUGCACUCCAGCCCAGGUAAUGGAGAGAGACACUGUCUCUAAAAAAAGUUUAAAGAUGUAAAACGAUAUCAAAGUACAUAAUACAAAGGACAUAACUUAAAAUGUUGAAAGUGGUAACAAGAUUUAUAAAUGAAACAGAGUCACCUGUACCACUCUCUAUUCCUACUUUGAGGGACAAACACUUUCAACUGAUUCUUUUCCUGGUAUUUUCCUUCACUUUUCUGUGUCCCUGGUUCUCAAAGUGGGGUCUCUAGAAUUUGGGAGAAAUGCAAAUUCUUAGACCCCACCCCAGAUAUACCGAAUCAGACUAUGAGGGUGGAGCCCAGCAGCCAAUGUUUAAACAAACCUGUCUCCAGAGAUUCUGCCUCACGACCCCCCAAAGUUCUGACUGUUCUGGGUGAGGUGUUUAUACAAUGACUUCCUCCUAUGGACUGUGAAGGCUUACCUUUCUUCCACCCUCUCCCCAGCCCCACAAUCCUGCCUUCUUAUCUUUUCAGCACAGCUAUAUGACCAAUUUUGAUGAUGUUAAAAUUCAGUGUUUGUUGUAAUUAUGUAAAUAUUUUCACAACUAUCAGUAUAUUUCAUGUUUUAUGUAACUUUUAUUUUCCCUGGACUGAAUAACUGCCUCAUUUUUUUGUUGUCGUGAUGGCUUAGUGGGUUUGUUGUUGUUGUUUUUUAGAAACGAAGUCUCAGUAUGUUGCCCAAGCUGGUCUUGAACUCCCGGUCUUAAGCGAUCUCCUUGCCUCAGCCUCCCGAGUACUUCUCAGUUUUCUAUACAAAUCUCUCAUCUAUCCCUAACCUCUCAGUUUACCUGUUCUGGUCUUUCCUCACAUAUCUGACAAUCGUUAGCUCUCUUUGUAUUUCAAAGAAAAGCUCUGGAAUGUGUCUGGGACCUGUGUAUAUAUGGGCAAAACUCAUCAACGAAUGGGCUCCCUGGUGAUUAUUUGGCAGAUUCCUGGCAAUUUCAUCAGAGGAUCCAAAAAUUGGAGAAACUCCAAGAUGAACCCCAAAGAUCUCCAUCUCCAGCUGUUCACACUCCUAUGUAAUCUCUAGCCCUUGGGUGUGGAAAGGACUUGUGACUUACUUUAACCAACAACAGAAUAUAGCAAAGAUGCCUAAGAACUGCAAAUGAGAAAUAAUUUUCUCACCUGGUCACAGCAUCUACCAAGAAUGGCGCUGGGGGAGAGAUCAGUGAG